GAUGAACGCUGACAGAAUGCUUAACACAUGCAAGUCGAUUCAAGUUACCUUCGGGUAAUGAGGAUGGCGGACGGGUGAGUAACGCGUAAGGAACUUGCCUCUUGGUCUGGGACAACUGUUGGAAACGACAGCUAAUACCGGAUAUUAUGAGAUUCUCGCAUGGGAAACUUAUGAAAGCUAUAUGCGCCAAGAGAGAGCCUUGCGUUCCAUUAGCUAGUUGGUGGGGUAACGGCCCACCAAGGCGACGAUGGAUAGCCGGCCUGAGAGGGUGAACGGCCACAAGGGGACUGAGACACGGCCCUUACUCCUACGGGAGGCAGCAGUGGGGAAUAUUGGACAAUGGGCCACAAGCCUGAUCCAGCAAUUCUGUGUGCACGAUGAAGGUCUUCGGAUUGUAAAGUGCUUUCAGUUGGGAAGAAGAAAGUGACGGUACCAACAGAAGAAGCGACGGCUAAAUACGUGCCAGCAGCCGCGGUAAUACGUAUGUCGCAAGCGUUAUCCGGAUUUAUUGGGCGUAAAGCGCGUCUAGGCGGAAAAAUAAGUCUGAUGUUAAAAUGCGGGGCUCAACUCCGUAUUGCGUUGGAAACUGUUUUUCUAGAGUACUGGAGAGGUGGGCGGAACUACAAGUGUAGAGGUGAAAUUCGUAGAUAUUUGUAGGAAUGCCGAUGGAGAAGUCAGCUCACUGGNCAGAUACUGACGCUGAANCGCGAAAGCGUGGGGAGCAAACAGGAUUAGAUACCCUGGUAGUCCA
Molecule: ribosomal RNA, 751 nt
Filed under: uncultured prokaryote
Description: bacterial SSU rRNA
Rfam family: Bacterial small subunit ribosomal RNA
Source: RNAcentral